Molecule: unclassified non-coding RNA, 274 nt
Filed under: Hevea brasiliensis (rubber tree)
Lineage: Eukaryota; Viridiplantae; Streptophyta; Magnoliopsida; Malpighiales; Euphorbiaceae
Source: RNAcentral
AAUAAUAAUAAUAAAAUCUCACUUCUAAAAGAUAAGCUUAAUAGCAUCAUAUGAUCUCUAACCUUAAUAAUGGCAUGCUUGAGUUUCCAAUAUAGAAUUACAGCUAACUUUACACUCUUUGCCAUCAUGUCUUCUCUACUUAUUUGCCCAUUUUCACCAUGUGACCCUUGGUUUUCUAUUGUUUGAACGUAAGUGCUUUCAAUUAAUUAAUGAUAUGAUAUGUUUUUCGCACCACAUUUCAGUUAAUAGCACAUGUGCAGGUAUGGCGUUAAAU